This 1442-nucleotide unclassified non-coding RNA is filed under the name Hevea brasiliensis (rubber tree). The record is from RNAcentral. Lineage: Eukaryota; Viridiplantae; Streptophyta; Magnoliopsida; Malpighiales; Euphorbiaceae.
CUUUGCUAUAACAAUGCUUAGCUGCAAAAAAAAUAAGGAACUACCAAAGUCUACAAUUAUUUAAGAAAGGUUACAAAUUUGGUGCAUGGAGCUGCAAUUGCAACAAUAUCUUUCAUAUAACCAUUCCCACUAUGGACUACAGUUGAAAUUAGCAGUUUCUAUCUAUCUAUCUACCGAAAGAAGAAAGCAACUCCUUGUCAGGAUACUAAAUCACCAGAUAUACGCCCAUGCAUGCAUUUAAUGAAGUAAUCCAACUCACUGAAGCAAAUUGUUCCUCGAACCAAAGGUGAUGGCUGCUGGUAGACAAAGAAUGAAAAGUGACGAUGAUCAGGGUCAUUCCUUGGCUUUGCCAUCUCAACCACUCUAAUAUGUCCUUCUCUGUCAUAACAUGAAAGCGCGUUCACACCAGCUACUGUUAAUCCUCGAUCCCAAGCAGAAUUUAAGACCUGCCAACUCAAGCCCUCAGGAUCAGCAAGUGCUUCAUCAUUCUCAUUACCAGAAGUAUGCAAUCCUGAGCAUAUAAAUUUCAUUGUGACUGAGUGUUUCUUCAACACCUCAAAAACAGGAGAGUAGCCAUCAUGGUUUGUGGGGUUAUAGUAUCCUGCUGUUAUCUCUGCCGCGUGGCUAGUGGUGUUAUACCACCAAUAAACUGCUGGAAUAUUAACAAUUAUCUUUGUAUCCUCAAAGGCAAGGCUUGCAAGAGAUAAAACAUUAUCGGCAUGGUCUAUCAAUGUCUGGGCAUACCAAUUGAGGAAAAAGCGCCCAAAGUAACUAUCAUAAUCACCUCGUUCACAGAAGAACCCAGUUUCAUGCGGCCUAGAAUUAUACUGACCAGUAUUAUCAGGCCCCCUUGCCCAAAAUGAAUGCCCACGCAAUUUAGCUGCUUUAUGUAGACUUUGUUGUAAAUAUUUAUCAUAGCACUGAAACUCACCGAUGCCAGGAUAUCUCCAUCCCAUCCUUUCAGGAAAAGAAGGAUACUUUAGCUCCCCAGAUGCUCCAAGUCCAAUUUCAAUAGCAGAAAUGACACCCUCUGCAAACAAGUCAUCAAACUCCAUCCGAAAGCUUCUCAUGAAGUCAAAAUAAACCUCAAUGCCAGUUCGCCCUUUUAGAACUCGUUCUUUGUCAAUACCCCAAGAUAGGUAUUCAGUGUUCCUCCUUCCUUCACGAUCUGUGAAGAAUAUAUCCUGGUUCUCUUUCCCAAUCUCUAAAACCCAUUGAGGGAGGGAGAUCAAAACUUGAUCAGCAUCACUUCCUCCAUACUCAUGAAAUGCCAAUACAACCUGCAAUUUCAGCUUGAAUUCACGAAUGAUGUUAAAAAGUUCCCUAUAGCCAGACCACACAUAUUUCUGAGGGCUCCAUGCUUCAACAAUUCCCNNNNNNNUCUACAACAACACCAUCUAUAUCUAAUGACUUCAUGUGACUAAGCUCCUGUCUAAUGCCUU